RNAcentral lists this ribosomal RNA (523 nucleotides) under uncultured bacterium. RNAcentral describes it as "bacterial SSU rRNA". It matches the Rfam family "Bacterial small subunit ribosomal RNA", at positions 987 to 1509 of the family's 1533-position model. The record is from RNAcentral.
UACUAAGAACUUUCCAGAGAUGGAUUGGUGCCUUCGGGAACUUAGAUACAGGUGCUGCAUGGCUGUCGUCAGCUCGUGUCGUGAGAUGUUGGGUUAAGUCCCGNAACGAGCGCAACCCUUUUCCUUAUUUGCCAGCGGGUCAUGCCGGGAACUUUAAGGAUACUGCCAGUGACAAACUGGAGGAAGGCGGGGACGACGUCAAGUCAUCAUGGCCCUUACGGCCAGGGCUACACACGUGCUACAAUGGUCGGUACAAAGGGUUGCUACCUCGCGAGAGGAUGCUAAUCUCAAAAAGCCGAUCGUAGUCCGGAUCGCAGUCUGCAACUCGACUGCGUGAAGUCGGAAUCGCUAGUAAUCGCGGAUCAGAAUGCCGCGGUGAAUACGUUCCCGGGCCUUGUACACACCGCCCGUCACACCAUGGGAGUUUGUUGCACCAGAAGUAGGUAGUCUAACCGCAAGGAGGACGCUUACCACGGUGUGGCCGAUGACUGGGGUGAAGUCGUAACAAGGUAAGCGUAGAUGA